CCUAAGGUAGCGAAAUUCCUUGUCGGGUAAGUUCCGACCUGCACGAAUGGCGUAAUGAUGGCCAGGCUGUCUCCACCCGAGACUCAGUGAAAUUGAACUCGCUGUGAAGAUGCAGUGUACCCGCGGCAAGACGGAAAGACCCCGUGAACCUUUACUAUAGCUUGACACUGAACAUUGAGCCUUGAUGUGUAGGAUAGGUGGGAGGCUUUGAAGUGUGGACGCCAGUCUGCAUGGAGCCGACCUUGAAAUACCACCCUUUAAUGUUUGAUGUUCUAACGUUGGCCCGUUAUCCGGGUUGCGGACAGUGUCUGGUGGGUAGUUUGACUGGGGCGGUCUCCUCCUAAAGAGUAACGGAGGAGCACGAAGGUUGGCUAAUCCUGGUCGGACAUCAGGAGGUUAGUGCAAUGGCAUAAGCCAGCUUGACUGCGAGCGUGACGGCGCGAGCAGGUGCGAAAGCAGGUCAUAGUGAUCCGGUGGUUCUGAAUGGAAGGGCCAUCGCUCAACGGAUAAAAGGUACUCCGGGGAUAACAGGCUGAUACCGCCCAAGAGUUCAUAUCGACGGCGGUGUUUGGCACCUCGAUGUCGGCUCAUCACAUCCUGGGGCUGAAGUAGGUCCCAAGGGUAUGGCUGUUCGCCAUUUAAAGUGGUACGCGAGCUGGGUUUAGAACGUCGUGAGACAGUUCGGUCCCUAUCUGCCGUGGGCGCUGGAGAACUGAGGGGGGCUGCUCCUAGUACGAGAGGACCGGAGUGGACGCAUCACUGGUGUUCGGGUUGUCAUGCCAAUGGCACUGCCCGGUAGCUAAAUGCGGAAGAGAUAAGUGCUGAAAGCAUCUAAGCACGAAACUUGCCCCGAGAUGAGUUCUCCCUGAGACUUUAAGUCUCCUGAAGGAACGUUGAAGACGACGACGUUGAUAGGCCGGGUGUGUAAGCGCAGCGAUGCGUUGAGCUAACCGGUACUAAUGAACCGUGAGGCUUAACCUU
Molecule: ribosomal RNA, 981 nt
Filed under: human gut metagenome
Description: bacterial LSU rRNA
Rfam family: Bacterial large subunit ribosomal RNA
Source: RNAcentral